UCGAGGAAGAGGUCGCCAGAGUAGUGAAGGUCGGUGAUGGCGAGGGCACUGCAACUAAACCGAGAGAGAGGGAAAGAGAGAAAAAGAGAGAAGAAUUUGAGAGAGAGAAAGAGAGCUAGAGACAUAGAGGGAGAGAAAGAAAGACAAAAAGAACUUGGCCUGGGCUCGCUGCCGGCUGAGAAGGAUGGCCAAUGACUGGGAGGUAGUCGGGCGGUGGCUGGUGGGGGAGAGUAGGUCUAGAGUUUUCUCUUUUUUCCCUCUUUAUUUCCCUUUCAAUUAUAAGAAUCACACUUUAGUCCCUACAUUGUUUCUCCUUGUCUAUUUAGUCUGCUCUCAGUCCUCUAUGCGAAGGAGUCUUUUGUUUCGAAAAUUUUUCACUUUUCACACAUGAAAUAAUUACUUUUUCACAAAUUGCUCUAUUUUAUUAGGGUAAACUUCAAAUACCACCCUUAUGGUUUCACACUUUCCAACUUUAGUACCCUAUGGUUUAAAGUGUAUCAAGUUAGUGUCAUAUAAUUAUAUUUUUAUUUUUUUCAUCAGCUUUUUCAUUAAUAUUUCAUUAAAUUAUAUACAAAAAACUUCAUAUAUCCUAUCUAGGUUUAUCAAAUAUUUAUUUUAGUAUCCUUUAGUUUUAACUUUGUCACUGAUUUAACAAAAAAUUAGUGGAAUCGAUAAUAAAAAAAUAAAAUGAAAUCACAGGGCACUAAAUUGAUACACUUUAAACCACAGAAUAUUAAAGUGAGAAAGUAUUAAUGUCAUGCCCCGGAUUACCACAUUUCCACGGGCACGUCCACAAACUCGC
This 802-nucleotide long non-coding RNA is filed under the name Ananas comosus (pineapple). RNAcentral describes it as "long non-coding RNA (ACOM_LNC005328)". The record is from RNAcentral. Lineage: Eukaryota; Viridiplantae; Streptophyta; Magnoliopsida; Poales; Bromeliaceae.